RNAcentral lists this ribosomal RNA (393 nucleotides) under uncultured bacterium. Its description in RNAcentral is "partial 16S ribosomal RNA". It matches the Rfam family "Bacterial small subunit ribosomal RNA", at positions 523 to 918 of the family's 1533-position model. The record is from RNAcentral.
AUACGGAGGAUCCGAGCGUUAUCCGGAUUUAUUGGGUUUAAAGGGAGCGUAGGUGGACAGUUAAGUCAGUUGUGAAAGUUUGCGGCUCAACCGUAAAAUUGCAGUUGAUACUGGCUGUCUUGAGUACAGUAGAGGUGGGCGGAAUUCGUGGUGUAGCGGUGGAAUGCUUAGAUAUCACGAAGAGCUCCGAUUGCGUAGGCAGCUGACCAGACCGCAAAUGACGCUCAUGCACGAAAGUGCGGGGAUCGAACAGGAUUAGAUACCCUGGUAGUCCGCACAGUAAACGAUGAAUACUUGUUUUCGGCGAUAUAAUGUCGGAGGCAAAGCGAAAGCGAUAAGUAUUCCACCUGGGGAGUACGCCGGCAACGGUGAAACUCAAAUGAAUUGACGGGG